CCUACGGGAGGCUGCAGUGGGGAAUAUUGCACAAUGGGCGCAAGCCUGAUGCAGCCAUGCCGCGUGUGUGAAGAAGGCCUUCGGGUUGUAAAGCACUUUCAGCGGGGCGGAAGGCGGUGAGGUUAAUAACCUCAUCGAUUGACGUUACCCGCAGGAGAAGCACCGGCUAACUCCGUGCCAGCAGCCGCGGUAAUACGGAGGGUGCAAGCGUUAAUCGGAAUUACUGGGCGUAAAGCGCACGCAGGCGGUCGGUCAAGUCGGAUGUGAAAUCCCCGGGCUCAACCUGGGAACUGCAUUCGAAACUGGCAGGCUAGAGUCUUGUAGAGGGGGGUAGAAUUCCAGGUGUAGCGGUGAAAUGCGUAGAGAUCUGGAGGAAUACCGGUGGCGAAGGCGGCCCCCUGGACAAAGACUGACGCUCAGGUGCGAAAGCGUGGGGAGCAAACAGGAUUAGAUACCCCGGUAGUC
Molecule: ribosomal RNA, 465 nt
Filed under: uncultured Klebsiella sp.
Lineage: Bacteria; Pseudomonadati; Pseudomonadota; Gammaproteobacteria; Enterobacterales; Enterobacteriaceae
Description: bacterial SSU rRNA
Rfam family: Bacterial small subunit ribosomal RNA
Source: RNAcentral